This 375-nucleotide unclassified non-coding RNA is filed under the name uncultured bacterium. RNAcentral's name for it is "contains 16S-23S intergenic spacer region". The record is from RNAcentral.
UCCCCGUUCACCGGGGCAGUCCCCUCAGAGUGCCCGGCAUAACCCGAUGGCAACAGAGGGCGAGGGUUGCGCUCGUUGCGGGACUUAACCCAACAUCUCACGACACGAGCUGACGACAGCCAUGCAGCACCUGUGCACAGGCCCCGAAGGGAGGACGACUUUCGUCGCCUAUCCUGCACAUGUCAAACCCAGGUAAGGUUCUUCGCGUUGCGUCGAAUUAAACCACAUGCUCCACCGCUUGUGCGGGCCCCCGUCAAUUCCUUUGAGUUUCAACCUUGCGGUCGUACUCCCCAGGUGGCUUACUUAACGGUUUCCCUUGGACGCACAAUGUCUAGCAUCAUACGUCGAGUAAGCAUCGUUUAGGGCGUGGACUAC